CCUGUCCUCCACCUGGUGGGACGGCUGUUAGUUAACAGUGUUAACAACAGUUCUCCUGACAGAUACCAUCAAAAGGGGGGUUGGGAUUCUACCGUCGCCAGUUCAGUAGUUUACGACUGGUGAAGAUAUGCAACCACCGCUAAAUUUCACGGUGUCUGAGGCCGGCAGCUCGAGUCCGCAGAGCCUGUUGAAGAGUUCCUCUUAAGUUUCUUGGUGCCUAGAGGAAGGGAGAUGUUGAUCCUUCAAGGAGACAGGUUCCUUAAUACAGGAUGGGUCCCAUUGUUCUACGGCUUUGAAGAAUGGAUUGGUCCCAUAGUACUAUGCCAUGAGCCCAACUCGCUCAGAUAAGCUGUGAGCGGUAAAUUUGGGCCUAGAUAUUAGAGUAUAGGUCUAUGCAGCAAGUGUGCACCAUAUA
Molecule: long non-coding RNA, 415 nt
Organism: Cherax quadricarinatus
Lineage: Eukaryota; Metazoa; Arthropoda; Malacostraca; Decapoda; Parastacidae
Source: RefSeq, a predicted model, not a curated record